This 64-nucleotide transfer RNA is filed under the name Mesoplodon stejnegeri (Stejneger's beaked whale). RNAcentral describes it as "tRNA-Lys". It matches the Rfam family "tRNA". From Rfam's summary of the family: Transfer RNA (tRNA) molecules are approximately 80 nucleotides in length. Their secondary structure includes four short double-helical elements and three loops (D, anti-codon, and T loops). Further hydrogen bonds mediate the characteristic L-shaped molecular structure. tRNAs have two regions of fundamental functional importance: the anti-codon, which is responsible for specific mRNA codon recognition, and the 3' end, to which the tRNAs corresponding amino acid is attached (by aminoacyl-tRNA synthetases). tRNAs cope with the degeneracy of the genetic code in two manners: having more than one tRNA (with a specific anti-codon) for a particular amino acid; and 'wobble' base-pairing, i.e. permitting non-standard base-pairing at the 3rd anti-codon position. Lineage: Eukaryota; Metazoa; Chordata; Mammalia; Artiodactyla; Ziphiidae. The record is from RNAcentral.
CAUUAAGAAGCUAAAUCAGCAUUAACCUUUUAAGUUAAAGAUUGAAAGUCUAAACUUUCCUUAA